AACGAACGCUGGCGGCAGGCUUAACACAUGCAGGUCGAGCGCCCUUUACGGAGGGAGCGGCAGACGGGUGAGUAACACGUGGGAAUCUACCCAUCACUACGGAACAACUCCGGGAAACUGGAGCUAAUACCGUAUACGUCCUUCGGGUGAAAGAUUUAUCGGUGAUGGAUGAGCCCGCGUUGGAUUAGCUAGUUGGUGGGGUAAAGGCCUACCAAGGCGACGAUCCAUAGCUGGUCUGAGAGGAUGAUCAGCCACACUGGGACUGAGACACGGCCCAGACUCCUACGGGAGGCAGCAGUGGGGAAUAUUGGACAAUGGGCGCAAGCCUGCUCCAGCCAUGCCGCGUGAGUGAUGAAGGCCCUAGGGUUGUAAAGCUCUUUCACCGGUGAAGAUAAUGACGGUAACCGGAGAAGAAGCCCCGGCUAACUUCGUGCCAGCCGCCGCCGUAA
RNAcentral lists this ribosomal RNA (449 nucleotides) under uncultured bacterium. RNAcentral's name for it is "partial 16S ribosomal RNA". It matches the Rfam family "Bacterial small subunit ribosomal RNA", at positions 29 to 523 of the family's 1533-position model. The record is from RNAcentral.